Molecule: long non-coding RNA, 946 nt
Filed under: Dermacentor andersoni
Lineage: Eukaryota; Metazoa; Arthropoda; Arachnida; Ixodida; Ixodidae
Description: uncharacterized LOC126519121
Source: RNAcentral
UGAUCUGGGCAAUAUGUAAAUUUCGGCCCUACCUCUAUGGUAGACCAUUCAGAGCAGUCAGCGAUCACCAUUCGCUUUGCUGGCUGGCGAAUCUCAAGGAUCCAUCCGGACGACUAGCAAGAUGGAGCCUUAGGCUUCAAGAGUAUGACAUUACUGUCGUAUACCGAUCCGGGAGGAAACACAGCGAUGCCGACUGCUUGUCACGCGCACCCGUCGUGACAACUGUGUCAGAAGAAGAGGAUUUCCCGUUCCUUGGCAUUGUUGACAAGUCACAAAUUGCUCAACAACAACGAGAUGACCCGGAAUUGCUUCCACUUAUACAGCGCCUGGAGGGACUCGACGAAACACAGCGAUGCCGACUGCUUGUCACGCGCACCCGUCGAGACAACUGUGUCAGAAGAAGAGGAUUUCCCGUUCCUUGGCAUUGUUGACGAGUCACAAAUUGCUCAACAACAACGAGAUGACCCGGAAUUGCUUCCACUUAUACAGCGCCUGGAGGGACUCGACGAAACACAGCGAUGCCGACUGCUUGUCACGCGCACCCGUCGAGACAACUGUGUCAGAAGAAGAGGAUUUCCCGUUCCUUGGCAUUGUUGACGAGUCACAAAUUGCUCAACAACAACGAGAUGACCCGGAAUUGCUUCCACUUAUACAGCGCCUGGAGGGACUCGACGUUCAACUGCCGCGUAUUUUCUCUAGGGGGCUAUCCUCGUUCUGUCUGCGAGGAAGUGUCCUCUACAAGAGAAACUUCGAGAACAGCGAGACAAAGUUUUUACUUGUCGUACCCACAUCUAUGCGAGAAGAAAUUUUGCAUGCAUGUCACGAUGAGCCGACGUCUGGACACAUGGGCGUGAGCCGUACAGUCGCCAGGAUUCGUCUGAAAUACUACUGGCCCAAGUUAAUAGCAUCAGUGCAGCACUACGUCAAGACUUGUCGCGAGUGUCAA